GAAGCUUGCUUCUAUGACGUUAGCGGCGGACGGGUGAGUAACACGUGGGCAACCUGCCUGUAAGACUGGGAUAACUUCGGGAAACCGAAGCUAAUACCGGAUAGGAUCUUCUCCUUCAUGGGAGAUGAUUGAAAGAUGGUUUCGGCUAUCACUUACAGAUGGGCCCGCGGUGCAUUAGCUAGUUGGUGAGGUAACGGCUCACCAAGGCAACGAUGCAUAGCCGACCUGAGAGGGUGAUCGGCCACACUGGGACUGAGACACGGCCCAGACUCCUACGGGAGGCAGCAGUAGGGAAUCUUCCGCAAUGGACGAAAGUCUGACGGAGCAACGCCGCGUGAGUGAUGAAGGCUUUCGGGUCGUAAAACUCUGUUGUUAGGGAAGAACAAGUACGAGAGUAACUGCUCGUACCUUGACGGUACCUAACCAGAAAGCCACGGCUAACUACGUGCCAGCAGCCGCGGUAAUACGUAGGUGGCAAGCGUUAUCCGGAAUUAUUGGGCGUAAAGCGCGCGCAGGCGGUUUCUUAAGUCUGAUGUGAAAGCCCACGGCUCAACCGUGGAGGGUCAUUGGAAACUGGGGAACUUGAGUGCAGAAGAGAAAAGCGGAAUUCCACGUGUAGCGGUGAAAUGCGUAGAGAUGUGGAGGAACACCAGUGGCGAAGGCGGCUUUUUUGGUCUGU
Molecule: ribosomal RNA, 679 nt
Filed under: Priestia megaterium
Lineage: Bacteria; Bacillati; Bacillota; Bacilli; Caryophanales; Bacillaceae
Description: bacterial SSU rRNA
Rfam family: Bacterial small subunit ribosomal RNA
Source: RNAcentral